GUGGACACGGCGUCUUAGAAUUAUUAAUUUUUUGUGUUUAUAAUCGCGAAAAUAGGCGAUUUCGUUUUGUUUUUGCGACGCUCGCCACCUCUUGUCAGUUGCUUUAGAUGUGGAACAGCAGUUGGUUGUGGUCAAGUAGGUUUUAGCGUCAGCUCUUGUAGGCGCUCGUCGAUCUGGAUUUUGAGAGUAGCAGGAAGGAUGGAUUUUGCAGCUCCGCGCUGGGUGCCCUGGUCAGCAGCUUUUGUGGCCCGUCUUUUGCAGCGCUGCAUUGCAGGUAGAUUGCAUCGGUGAUGAGGGAUACUGUCAGGGACCGUGUGGCGAGAAAGUUCAGGAUCAGCUGGAGUGCGUUGUCUUGGGCUUGUUCAUCCGGGUGCGUUGAGGAAAAUUAAGCUGAGUCGAGGAAGGUGGUGACCGUGCACGAGUUUGGGAGCUGACUGGAGUGCGCUUUUCCAUCGGAUAUAGAUAUCGUUAAUAUAUUUAUAAAUAGAUGUAGAUUUAAUUGGAUGUGUCCAUGU
Drosophila sechellia is the source of this 515-nucleotide long non-coding RNA. RefSeq lists it as uncharacterized. The transcript has 4 exons. Lineage: Eukaryota; Metazoa; Arthropoda; Insecta; Diptera; Drosophilidae. The record is from RefSeq and is a predicted model, not a curated record.